Molecule: ribosomal RNA, 1954 nt
Filed under: Triticum aestivum (bread wheat)
Lineage: Eukaryota; Viridiplantae; Streptophyta; Magnoliopsida; Poales; Poaceae
Description: partial small subunit ribosomal RNA
Source: RNAcentral
AAAGGAACGAAUACAUAGGGGAUUCAUGUUGAGUACUGCAUUUUGUUUUCUAAAAGUAGCGACGGAAAAACUGUUCCUGAAAAUGACAUUGAAAAUCUCUUGGUUGCAUCAGAGUCCGAGUUGGAGCAAAUCCAAUUGAGCGAACACCCUGCCCUGGGAGGAUGGGGGCUCUAGAGAAGACAAUUAGGGGCUUUGCGGAAAGGGCUGGGGAUGAAGUGGUGAAGCCGGAGCUCGGGACAUCUUUUGACUCACUAACAGAGGCGUACGAUUUUUACAACUUAUAUUCAUGGGAGCAUGGGUUUGGUAUUAGAUACGGAAAGAGCCGACUUAAUCUAGAUAAAAGAAAGACCAUGCAGGAGAUUGUGUGCGGCUGCUCGGGGAAACCUCUGCGUGAGAAUACACGUUCUUGCAGAUGUGAGUGUCCAGCAAUGAUAAGGUUGUUAAGGACAUCGGACAACGGCUGGUACAUAACGGAGCAUCGAGUCAAGCAUAAUCAUGUGAUGACGCCAAAUUGUGGAGAAAUGCUGCACUGGCCAUCUCACAAGCACAUUGAUGUGUACACCAAAGAUCUGGUUCGGAACCUACGGAAGAACAACAUCAACCUCAGCAAGGUGUACAGCAUUAUAGCUGGGUUUUUUUGGCACAGUUGAGAGUGUGCCUUUCACGAAACGGUCUCUUCGUAAUUUGUGUGGACAGAUAAGCCGUGACGAGGCAGAGGAUGAUGUUAGAAAAACGAUUGAAGUUUUCGAUGAGCUUGGAGCUAAGGAUCCUGAAUUUCUGUUCAGGGUGCAGCCAGACUGGGAAGGCAGGAUAAGGAAUUUGAUGUGGGCAACAGGAGAUAGCCGGUUGAAAUACAAGUUUUUUGGUGAUGUUGUCACUUUCGAUACGACUUAUCGGACGAACGUGUACAACAUGCCGUUUGGUUUAUUUGUUGGAGUGAACAACCACUACCAGAGUAUACUCCUAGCAGGAGUGCUGAUGAGGGACGAGCAGGUGGAGAGCUUCGAGUGGGUCUUCACCGAGUUUGUUAGGAUGAUGGGUGGGGUGGCUCCUCGUACGAUACUUACGGAUCAGUGUGGAGCGAUGUAGAUUGGUAUAAAAAAGACACUUCCUAACACAGUCCAUCGGUGGUGCAAAUGGCAUGUACUGAAGAAAGCAAAAGAAAGUCUGGGAGCACUCUAUGGAAAGAGGAACGAAUUCAGGCAGGAAUUUCAUAAGGUUGUGAACCACAUGUUAACGGUGGACGAAUUUGAGGAGGCGUGGCACAAUUAUUAGAGAAACACAACCUGAAGGAGCACUCGUACAUGACUCAGCUCUUUGAGAUUAGGGAGAAAUGGGCUAAGCCAUACAUCAAAGGAGUCUUUUGUGCAAAAAUGACCAGUACCCAACGCAGCGAGAGUGCAAACCAUAUGCUUAAGUGCUAUGUUCCACCAGGAUCGCCAAUGCAUAUGUUUGUGAGGCAAUACAUGAGGCUGCAGUUUGAUAGGUCGUCUGACGAGAGUUACGAGGAGAAGAGAACAAAAAUAGGAGGGGUUGUGAUGCGGACGGACUCAUCUAUCGAGCUGGAUGCAAGCAGAAUUUACACGAGAUCCAUGUUCGAGCAGUUCCAACUCAUUCUGUACGAAGCAUGGGGGUACCGAGUGCAGGAGGUAGAGCAAAACUCAUUGUACAGGGCGACGCACACAAGACCUGACCAGCGUGAGAAAUGGAGCAGAGUCGUCUUCAUGGUGAGAAAUGGAGCAGAGUCGUCUUCAUGGUGAGAAUGCAUGACGACGGCGACCGGUUUGAAUGCGAGUGCGGGCUUUUUGAACACAUGGGUAUGCUUUGUGCCCACGUCUUGAAGGUUAUGGACUACCUAGGAAUGACUAGGAUUCCCAAGAAGCACAUCGUGAAACGGUGAACGAAGGAUGUGCGGGACAUACUACCAGAACACCUGCAGCACUAUCAGCGUGAU